GAUGAACGCUGGCGGCGUGCUUAAUACAUGCAAGUCGAGCGAACGGACGAGAAGCUUGCUUCUCUGAUGUUAGCGGCGGACGGGUGAGUAACACGUGGAUAACCUACCUAUAAGACUGGGAUAACUUCGGGAAACCGUAGCUAAUACCGGAUAAUAUUUUGAACCGCAUGGUUCAAAAGUGAAAGACGGUCUUGCUGUCACUUAUAGAUGGAUCCGCGCUGCAUUAGCUAGUUGGUAAGGUAACGGCUUACCAAGGCAACGAUGCAUAGCCGACCUGAGAGGGUGAUCGGCCACACUGGAACUGAGACACGGUCCAGACUCCUACGGGAGGCAGCAGUAGGGAAUCUUCCGCAAUGGGCGAAAGCCUGACGGAGCAACGCCGCGUGAGUGAUGAAGGUCUUCGGAUCGUAAAGCUCUGUUAUUAGGGAAGAACAUAUGUGUAAGUAGCUGUGCACAUCUUGACGGUACCUAAUCAGAAAGCCACGGCUAACUACGUG
RNAcentral lists this ribosomal RNA (497 nucleotides) under uncultured bacterium. Its description in RNAcentral is "partial 16S ribosomal RNA". It matches the Rfam family "Bacterial small subunit ribosomal RNA", at positions 28 to 507 of the family's 1533-position model. The record is from RNAcentral.